GGGCGGAGAUUGAGCAUUAGACUACAAAACACUGCCGAGCUACCCCGCUAUUGUAAUACCGCACCGAAGGUAUACGCGCAAGGGACCAGAAUAGUCGCGCUUUUUUUGUUGAGUGUAGCGAAUUUGUGCUACAAUUUAUCCCACCAAGUGAGAUUUCAACUGAGCGGGGCGUAUACGAGGCAUCUUGAGAGGCAGGCGGAGGUGGUGGAAAACAGCCCAUGUCCGAAGUCCUCCGCGUAUUAUGGGCGAAAGUUUUCAAGAGGGAAGUCUCCCAUGCUCAUACGCAGGGGUUCAUAUCACCCCAUUCAGGAACUUGAUCUCGUAAGAUGCCGUGGUUACAGGAUUCGCCACCGUUUCCAGUAGUCUUCAAAGUCAAAUAACAGAUUGUAGUGUUUCAACCGUUCGCCAGUGUACCCCCGAAGGGGCUUACCGCUCGACUGCAUGUGUUAAGCACGCCGCCAGCGUUCGUCCUGAGCAGGAUCAAAGUUAUCUAGAUGCAU
Molecule: ribosomal RNA, 500 nt
Filed under: uncultured bacterium
Lineage: Bacteria
Description: partial 16S ribosomal RNA
Source: RNAcentral